RNAcentral lists this ribosomal RNA (275 nucleotides) under uncultured bacterium. Its description in RNAcentral is "partial 16S ribosomal RNA". It matches the Rfam family "Bacterial small subunit ribosomal RNA", at positions 399 to 691 of the family's 1533-position model. The record is from RNAcentral.
GCGUGAGUGAUGAAGGCCCUAGGGUUGUAAAGCUCUUUCGGCGGGGACGAUAAUGACGGUACCCGCAAAAGAAGCCCCGGCUAACUUCGUGCCAGCAGCCGCGGUAAUACGAAGGGGGCUAGCGUUGUUCGGAAUUACUGGGCGUAAAGCGCACGUAGGCGGAUCGUUCAGUCAGGGGUGAAAUCCCGAGGCUCAACCUCGGAACUGCCUCUGAUACUGGCGAUCUUGAGACCGAGAGAGGUGAGUGGAACUCCGAGUGUAGAGGUGAAAUUCGU